AGGGUGAGAUUAUGACUCAGUGGUAGAGUAUCUGCUUUGCAUACAGAAGAUCCCAGGUUAAUUCCCCGGCACCUCG
RNAcentral lists this transfer RNA (76 nucleotides) under Sphaerodactylus townsendi. Its description in RNAcentral is "tRNA-Ala". It matches the Rfam family "tRNA". From Rfam's summary of the family: Transfer RNA (tRNA) molecules are approximately 80 nucleotides in length. Lineage: Eukaryota; Metazoa; Chordata; Lepidosauria; Squamata; Sphaerodactylidae. The record is from RNAcentral.